This 1478-nucleotide ribosomal RNA is filed under the name metagenome. Its description in RNAcentral is "bacterial SSU rRNA". It matches the Rfam family "Bacterial small subunit ribosomal RNA". The record is from RNAcentral.
AGAGUUUGAUCCUGGCUCAGAAUCAACGCUGGCGGCGUGCCUAACACAUGCAAGUCGAGCGAGAAAGGGGCUUCGGCCCUGAGUAAAGCGGCGCACGGGUGAGUAACACGUGGGUAAUCUGCCCUCGAGUGGGGAAUAACAUCGGAAACCGAUGCUACUACCGCAUACGAUCAUGGAGUCUUCGGAUUUUGUGAUGAAAGGAGCAAUCCGCUCUUGGAGGAGCCCGCGGCUGAUUAGCUAGUUGGUAAGGUUAUGGCUUACCAAGGCUACGAUCAGUAUCCGGUCUGAGAGGACGGUCGGACACACUGGAACUGAGACACGGUCCAGACUCCUACGGGAGGCAGCAGUUGGGAAUAUUGGACAAUGGGGGAAACCCUGAUCCAGCAAUGCCGCGUGAAUGAUGAAGGCCUUCGGGUCGUAAAGUUCUUUUAGCAGGGAAGAAGGGAAACUUGACUGUACCUGCAGAAAAAGCACCGGCUAACUCCGUGCCAGCAGCCGCGGUAAUACGGAGGGUGCAAGCGUUGUUCGGAAUUAUUGGGCGUAAAGCGCGUGUAGGCGGCUUGAUAAGUCUGGUGUGAAAGCCCGGGGCUUAACCCCGGAAGUGCACUGGAUACUAUCUAGCUAGAGGGUCGGAGAGGGAAGCGGAAUUCUUGGUGUAGGGGUGAAAUCCGUAGAUAUCAAGAGGAACACCGAUGGCGAAGGCAGCUUCCUGGCCGACAUCUGACGCUGAGACGCGAAAGCGUGGGUAGCAAACAGGAUUAGAUACCCUGGUAGUCCACGCCCUAAACGAUGGAUACUAGAUGUUGGAGUCCCUAAUAGCUUCAGUAUCGUAGCUAACGCGUUAGUAUCCCGCCUAGGAAGUACGGUCGCAAGAUUAAAACUCAAAGGAAUUGACGGGGGCCCGCACAAGCGGUGGAGCAUGUGGUUUAAUUCGAUGCUACGCGAAAAACCUUACCUAGGCUUGACAUCCUGCGCUACCCUAUGAAAGUAGGGGUUCCCUCACGGGACGCAGUGACAGGUGCUGCAUGGCUGUCGUCAGCUCGUGUUGUGAGAUGUUGGGUUAAGUCCCGCAACGAGCGCAACCCUCGCCGUUAGUUACCAUCAUUAAGUUGGGCACUCUAACGGAACCGCUUGGCUAUAAGCCAGAGGAAGGUGGGGAUGACGUCAAGUCCUCAUGGCCUUUAUGUCUAGGGCUACACACGUGCUACAAUGGGGAGGACAAAGCGCUGCUACUUCGCGAGAAGAUGCUAAUCGCAAAAACCUUUCCUCAGUUCGGAUUGGAGUCUGCAACUCGACUCCAUGAAGCUGGAAUCGCUAGUAAUCGUGGAUCAGAACGCCACGGUGAAUACGUUCCCGGGCCUUGUAUACACCGCCCGUCACACCAUGGGAGUUGGUUUUACCGGAAAACGUAGAGCUAACCGUAAGGAGGCAGACGUUUAUGGUAGGCCCGAUGACUGGGGUGAAGUCGAAACAAGGUA